RNAcentral lists this ribosomal RNA (1144 nucleotides) under Polyporus melanopus. RNAcentral's name for it is "eukaryotic LSU rRNA". It matches the Rfam family "Eukaryotic large subunit ribosomal RNA", at positions 37 to 1168 of the family's 3401-position model. The record is from RNAcentral. Lineage: Eukaryota; Fungi; Basidiomycota; Agaricomycetes; Polyporales; Polyporaceae.
AGCAUAUCAAUAAGCGGAGGAAAAGAAACUAACAAGGAUUCCCCUAGUAACUGCGAGUGAAGCGGGAAAAGCUCAAAUUUAAAAUCUGGCGGUCUUUGGCUGUCCGAGUUGUAGUCUGGAGAAGUGUGUUCUGCGCUGGACCGUGUACAAGUCUCUUGGAACAGAGCGUCAUAGAGGGUGAGAAUCCCGUCUUUGACACGGACUGCCGGUGCUUUGUGAUGCGCUCUCAAAGAGUCGAGUUGUUUGGGAAUGCAGCUCAAAAUGGGUGGUAAAUUCCAUCUAAAGCUAAAUAUUGGCGAGAGACCGAUAGCGAACAAGUACCGUGAGGGAAAGAUGAAAAGCACUUUGGAAAGAGAGUUAAACAGUACGUGAAAUUGCUGAAAGGGAAACGCUUGAAGUCAGUCGCGUCGUUCGGAACUCAGCCUUGCUUUUUUGCUUGGUGCACUUUCUGAAUGACGGGCCAGCAUCGAUUUUGACCGUCGGAAAUGGUCUGGGGGAAUGUGGCACCUUAGGGUGUGUUAUAGCCUUCAGUUCGCACACGGCGGUUGUGGUUGAAGAACGCAGCGCGCCGCAAGGCAGGGGUUCGCCCACUUUCGCGCUUAGGAUGCUGGCGUAAUGGCUUUAAACGACCCGUCUUGAAACACGGACCAAGGAGUCUAACAUGCCUGCGAGUGUUUGGGUGGAAAACCCGAGCGCGCAAUGAAAGUGAAAGUUGAGACCUCUGUCGUGGAGGGCAUCGACGCCCGGACCUGACGUUCUCUGACGGAUCCGCGGUAGAGCAUGUAUGUUGGGACCCGAAAGAUGGUGAACUAUGCCUGAAUAGGGUGAAGCCAGAGGAAACUCUGGUGGAGGCUCGUAGCGAUUCUGACGUGCAAAUCGAUCGUCAAAUUUGGGUAUAGGGGCGAAAGACUAAUCGAACCAUCUAGUAGCUGGUUCCUGCCGAAGUUUCCCUCAGGAUAGCAGAAACUCGUAUCAGAUUUAUGUGGUAAAGCGAAUGAUUAGAGGCCUUGGGGUUGAAACAACCUUAACCUAUUCUCAAACUUUAAAUAUGUAAGAACGAGCCGUCGCUUGGUUGGACCGCUCGGCGAUUGAGAGUUUCUAGUGGGCCAUUUUUGGUAAGCAGAACUGGCGAUGCGGGAUGAAC